UCUGGUUGUCAGGCCCUCCCUGUCCUUAAGCAUCACCAUCCGGGCAUUUGGGGGCCCCUUCCUAGAGCCAGAACCAAAGGUCCUCCCGUGAAGGGGAAAAGGCCCUGGACCCAGACUUGGGAGUCCCCAGUUCAAGAUCCAGCUGUGCUCCGGGGCAGACCUGGGCAGGGGCAGGUGGUAUCUCCUUGCCAGGCCUCAGUUUCCCCCAUCGCUUAUACACUGUGUUCCUACUGAGGCUGGGGUGGUAGACAGGAAAAGGGUGAAGCGAACAAGUCUUCAGAGAAUGGGCUCUUUUCCUCUGUCCUGGCCUCCCUGGGGACUGGGAAGGGAUGGAGCCAGUUCUCCAGUCCCUGGAGCUGGUCCCUGAGUCUUCCUGGCAAGGGCAUGGGGGUUAAGGAGGGGGACACAUUGUUCCAACCUCCAACCUCACUCUCAUCCCCCAUUCCCCACAGGCCCAGGGAAGGCGGCUGCUGAGGUUUCAUAUUUUCCCCCUACCGAACUAUUCACCACAGAGCCCAAGUCCAAGAUUUACUAAGCACCUACUAUGUGCCCAGGCCUGUGGAUAUACAGAUGAACAAAGUCCAGCUCCUGCUCACAAAAGGCUUUCUGACUAGCAGUAUGAAUACACCCUACUGAGGAAGAGAGAAGAACAGAGAGCCAGGGAAGACAGUGAAGUUGCUCAGCAUCACACAGCUUGAGGCCAUGACAACGAAAUCAGAAUAAAACCAGUGGCAACAGCUACAAUUUAUGGAGGCCUUACUAUGUGCCCGGCACUGUGCUAGGCCUUAUCUAACUGAAUUCUCCGAAGAACCCCAUGUCCUAUGGUCACACUUAAUGGAUGAGGAAAAUCAGCUGGGAGAGGUUCCGGCACCUGCCCAAGUUCACAGAGAUGACAGAUAGUGAGAGCCAAGAUUUGCUCCCAGGUCUGAGCCAUUAAAGGAGACCAUUCAUGGCCAUCCCACCCCAUCUCAAGAUGGCUCAGGACCCCUGUGUUUUUGAGGUAUUAGCUAUCUGGCCUGUGGGCUUGCUGUCUGGUCAGGUUGGGUCUGGGAGUAGGUACCAGGUCCCAGGACAUUCCUGUUCAGAAUCUGCCCAGAGUGGAGUGGACUCAGGGUCCCUAGAAUACCUCUCCCCCAAACUCAGGUGGCUUUGAGAGACCCAGAUACUCUGAGCUGGGCCCAGUUCUUUAACAGGGGUAGUGAGUACACACAUAUCUACUUUAUUACCCUUUAUAAUUCAUAUGCAUGCAUCACCUAUAUUCUUUUAUGACAGAAAAGGCUAGUAUGGUAAAGUGAAAGGUAGAUGUGGAAUUUAGGUUAACAUUCACUAUGUCAAUAAAAAAUAGAGUCCACUUUAACAAAAAGUAUCAUUAAAGCUGAAGUGUGGAAGUGUCCUUUCUUCCACUGUCUGUUCAUCUACCCAUCUAUCCAUCCAUCACCCCUCCCCACUCCUUCCUUGCUUUCCUCCCUUCUAUCCAUCCAUCCAUCCAUCCAUCCAUCCAUCCAAUAAAUAAGCAUUUCCUCAGCACUCAGUCCCUAUAGCUAUAACUAGGCAACAGAUAAAAAUAAUCAUCUGACGUUCCUGCUCUCAAAGAACUCUCAGUCUAGUUCAGCAAUGAUGUAGCCAGGGCCCAGAGAGGGGAAGUGAUUUGUCCAAGGUCACACAGUGAGUUUAGGAGAGGUGAGGACGGCCCAGGCAGAGGGGCACACUUGGAAAAGGGCUUGGGCCUCCCCACCUCAGAAGCAGUUCCCCUCAGUGACUGCUUUAAAACGGCCUCCCGGCUCUCCAGGAGGGCCUGAAGAGCCUGCCUUACUCCUCUGCUGCUUUCAUUUUUGUUUUUCUUUUGGAAGGGGAAAAGGGGGACAGCUGCUGCCGUCCAGCUGUUUUGCUGGACCACACAGCCCAGCCCAGAUGUGUCAGCCUCUCUGGGAUGGGUGAAAUGGCUCCUGGGCCAAGAACCAGGGGCCAAGGGCCAAGGAAGCUGCGGUGAGGGCUCUGUCCCACGAGAGUUGGGAGAGGAGGCAUGGCGAAGUCAGCAGCAGGGAAGCCCGUAAUUGCCCCAGUUGUCAAGUUGACUUUGCUGGUGACAUGGUAUAUCCAGGCCAUGGAGAUCAGACUCUCUGACAUUCCAAGGAAAUUCAUCCCUUUGACAUAUUUUCUGUGACGGUCAGAGUUCUAGACCAUCUGUUGUGCCUCCCAGCCUCUUCUGAACUAGACGCUCCCACCCUUACCUUCUUCUUGCCCAUCCUGGUCAAGGGUCCUGCCACUUAUUCUGACUUCCCCUCGUCUGUUGAGGGGGUUACACAGUGUUCCAGCCAGAGCAAUGCUCACGGUCUUGACUUAACUCCACCCAAAUCUUCCUCCUCCAUCCUGCCCCCUGGA
This is a long non-coding RNA of Lutra lutra (Eurasian river otter), 2382 nucleotides long. RefSeq lists it as uncharacterized. The transcript is spliced from 4 exons. The record is from RefSeq and is a predicted model, not a curated record. NCBI's taxonomy places the organism in Eukaryota, Metazoa, Chordata, Mammalia, Carnivora, Mustelidae.